CAAGUCGAGCGAGAAGGGCGUCGGCCCGAGUAGAGCGGCGCACGGUGAGUAACACGUGAAUAAUCUGCCUCAGGCCGGGAUAACAGACCGAAAGGACUGCUAAUACCCGAUAAGCUUCCGCACCAACCGGGUGAGUGGAGAAAAGUGUGGGAUCGCAAGACCACAUACCAGAAGAUGAGUUCGCGUUCCAUUAGAUAGUUGGCGGGGUAAUGGCCCACCAAGUCGACGAUGGAUAGCUAGGUCUGAGAGGAUGAUCAGCCACACUGGGACUGAGACACGGCCCAGACUCCUACGGGAGGCAGCAGUGGGGAAUCUUGCGCAAUGGACGAAAGUCUGACGCAGCCAUGCCGCGUGAGUGAAUGAAGGCCUUCGGGUUGUAAAGCUCUGUCUAAGGGAAAAAACGUCACCAUGGCGAACAGAAAUGGUGAGUGAUGGUACCCUUAAAGAAAGCACCGGCUAACUCCGUGCCAGCAGCUGC
This 478-nucleotide ribosomal RNA is filed under the name uncultured bacterium. RNAcentral describes it as "bacterial SSU rRNA". It matches the Rfam family "Bacterial small subunit ribosomal RNA", at positions 58 to 518 of the family's 1533-position model. The record is from RNAcentral.